GUUUCCAACAAGCCUGCAGGACCUGGAAAACACACACAUCUCUGCUUUAGGAGGAAAGUAUUGCCAUGGCCUCAGCAUCCACUGGUUCAGCUUACUCAGCUUCUCCUCAGGGGGAUUUCUAGAGGAAGGCAAUCGGCACUGCGGCUAAAGCAGCUUCCCUUCAGCAGUGAACAAAUAGUCCCUGACCUCCAGAAGAGGGGCAAACGCACUUUGCUAGAAUGAGCUAUUUCACACAGUCUGUGGUUAGGCCUGGUCCCUGUCCUGCUGAAAGCGGGGGGAGGAGAAUCAAGGCUUCCAGUCCGAUGUGUUCAUAGCCCCUAAUUCUCCAGAUCCCGUGGCUGACUUUUCAGGCUUGAGGGGUUUUGUGGGAUUUAAAGGGGUUUUCCUCUUCGUGAAAAUUAUAUUUCUAAUAAAGUUAAAAACGCGGCUCAGUGCUGGUUGUACAGCACUUCUUCUCAAUUUAUUUGCCGAGUUUGUUUUCCCUUGCUCCUUAUCUGCUUAAAAUCAAGAACACCUUGGCCAAAAAAUUUGCAGUUUUGUGGGUUUUACAAGCCGAGAGUGCCCAGAGGCACUGCCUAUUGCCCUGACAGAGUGGUGGAGGAUAAAAGGAGGAUUCCUCCCUCUUCCUGAUCCCAGGAGGGUCUCCCGGGGACUGCCAUGAAUGGAGCCACACCGAGUGCUCGAUCUUCUUGUUGCUCAGAGGGCCUUGCGUGGCUGUGAGGUGACAAAGGCUCUGCGCUUCAGGAAGAAGAAAAGCGGAAGGAAACUGUGCAAGACGGGGGGUUCCCAGCCUAUGACACUCUCCUUAAACACGGCCGCGGGAGGGCCCUCACAAGCCAGGCCGGAUCACGUAAGCUGCGAGGGGCACGCAAAGCACACAAGAGCCAUCUUCUGCCCCCUUUUCUGCACCACUUACAUCAUCUGCAGGGAGUUUUGCCAUUAUCUGCACUGUAGUGCUUGAAACGCAGUCAGGUUUGAGCUACAGGUGGAAAGAUGUCACUGCCCAUCUGACCACAAGAGACCUGAAGGGAAAUCCGAGUCAGAACAUUAUGGAAGAGCAGAAAACAACACACUAGCCAGCACAACUAACCUGUCUCAGCAGCUCCAGAGUACUUGUCAAGACCAGAGGGAGGGAGCUGGAAUCUUUCACCAGCUGGAACAAUUCCAGGCAGCAACCACAGCUCUUGAGUGCAGCCCUUUCAAACACCCAUUUUGUGCAAACGGAACAACGCACAUGCACAAGGAGCUUCAUGCUCUCUGUACGGCUGGGAAUGGGCCGGCACCUACAGAGCUGGCUAAAGGAGCAUCUGCAGGAUGGCACUUCAGUGCUGGAGAGUGCCCUGCGGCAGCCAUGUGGGUGAUGUUGGCAAAAAACAAUUGUUUAUUCUCCUAGGAAACGAUCCAUCUGCAAAUGUUUCAAAUACCAACACAAUAUAACCGCAGCAACCCACAGUACGUGGCACAACCAAAUCGAGGGGUGUGCUUUCUGUACUCUGACGGGACGAUGAAACAGCAGCCUGCGCUAACUGGGUCCUACCCCUCCCUGUUUCCUCAAGAUCUUAUCCUUCUCCGUUCUACAAGCACUGCAGCCCAUGCAACCGAGUGAUGGGCCAGACAAAGGUUAAUCCUGCAGCAAAGGGAUGAGCAGUGGCCCAGAUGGGUUCCCUGAACAGUGUCAGCUUGCAGUCACAGGGCUGCUGGUGCUGGCCCAGUGUGGGACCAAGCGGUGACUGAAGGCAGCUGUUUCUGACUCUGUGGACCUGUGCCCACCCUUGCCUGUUCACACCAAGAGCCUAAUGUCACACACCUGAGCCUAGAAGCUCAAACAAGGCCCUUUGCCCACUCACAGCACAUCUUGGUGUUUCCAGUGCUUUUGAAAGCUCCAUGUUCCUGGCAGAGCUGGAUUACAGCAUGGAUCUAUCCACAUGCAUUGAUUCUUGUUACAAGGCACAAGUGUUCAUGUACUAUAAUGGUAUGUGGUUUGAUUUGCCUCCAAAGUGGGAAAGCAUCACACACUCGUUAUUAUCUGUAUUUGAAAUAAAGACUGUAACAUCGUUUUGCAAAUAUGCACUUCAUCAACAGAAGUAGUUUCUCAAUCAUCCUGCUGAACUCAUUGCACAUGCUUUUAUUUAUCAAUAUGUUCAGCAUCAGUGAGCAGAAAAAUCCAAUCUGUUGUCUUUUUCUCUAUUAGUAACUAAAUUCGCCUCUUGAAAUUGACCUCUGCUACUUCAUUCCUGUAAUAUAGACCACUUUUAAUGCUACUUAUCAUUAAUUUGUUUUAUCUUCCUUUUUUUGACAGCCUUAUUCCCUUUUCCUUACCUGCAUACCAGGACAUUCACACCAUCUGGGUCUGGUUUUUUCCUUCCCCCUCCAGGCUUAUUUUGCAGCCCAUCUCUGUAACUCCUGACUUUGAACCUAUGGACCAUUAAUGCACUUUAUACAGAUGUCUCCUGAUGAACUACCUACACAAGAGCCCAUGUCUGUUUCCUGCGUUGCAGUGAGAAAGAUGUAGGUGUCAGUGCAAAGUACUCAAAGUAGAAGAAAGAGUUUAAAAAAUUACUUCCUGCUAAGUACUCUUGUCACCCAUGGGAUAUAACUAUUUUUUGCACUUCCAAAGCCAAUUCUACACUAUUUAGUACUUUAUUUACUUGCUUUUUAGUUACUAGGUAAGAGAGGUUAGUAAUGGAAACUUCUCCUGGAGAUAGGAAGGGUGAACAUCAUCACCUGAUCUUCUAAAAACUAUUCAACAAACAUUUCAUGUGUGCAGACACCCACCAGGUGAAGAAACCAGGAGCUACAGGCUGAAAAAUCCACUGGAGAUUGAGGUUUUGGGCAACUUGCCACUACCUUGCAGCAAGUCAGGCAGCCUUCCUGGUCGUCACUGAAAAUCCUCCCUUCUCUCCCAUCCUUUCUGCUAACAGCUUUGACUCCAGCAAUCUCAGCCUGCUUCCUGUUACCUUCAGGGGCAGUGAGUAACUAAGCUAACCUGGUGGCCUAUUUUCAAGGUUCACCACAUCCUUAGAUGAGAAACGCUUUUUGUUUUUUUUUCUGUCAGCAGGCAUUUCCAAAUACUGUUAACUGAAACGAGGCCAACAUUCAAUGCAAAUAAAUUUCUUCACAGUGCCCUAUAAGUGUGCAGGACUACAACUAGUUUCAGAGACAGAGACAGAAAAGGAAAAGAAAGAAAAGCUGCCCAUCCCACUUGUGCUAAAACUCAGCACAAGGCAGCUGCUAUCCCCUCGGGCAGCCAACUUGCUGCAGGUUUUCUUGAUACCUUGUUGAAAGUUCUGGCUUCCUAAAUGACCUAACAGUGCACUGCCCAGAGAAACCCCCUGCCUAGCCAGCCACACCAGCCCGCAGUUAGAUCCCAUGGAAGAGGCUGUCUAUGGAACACGAGAACUAAUAUCCCGUCCUUCCCUGAGGAAAGUACUUACUUACGAGGGAGAAUUUUGACUGCCACUCCUACCAGGUGUGCCACCAGUUUAACCAGCCCCUCCUUAUAGAUCCUGUGCUGCACUGCCCCCUGUGCUGGACUAUUACUGCGAGACCAGCAUCAAGGUUAAACCAGUGUGCACACUGAGCUAUUGUUCUGGCUGGGUUUUGUCGUUUUGGUUUUUUAAACAUAAGCUUGUUUCCAUAUCAGGUUCCCUGGCUAGCCCUGGAAAUUGCUGGGCUACACAGGGGUUACAGGAACAGGGGAACUGAGGACAGUAACAGCACUGUCCCCAAAGAAACCUUCCUCAGAGGAGAUGGGAGUAGUCUUGAUGCUGCCCAAGAGAAGGAUAGAGUCACCUCCUGACAAAGGCAAACACAACUUUGGCGAGCAAGGUGUCAUCAGAUAGGUUUAAGUCAAAACUAGCCAAGGGGAUAAUGAGCUAUGGAAAGUCCUGUUCCUUUGGUGAUGCAGGCUGUGUUUUCACAGCGGCUUAAAGCAGAGGCAGUGCAAUCCCAUUUCCCUCUUCCCUCUUUUACACCUGCAGUACAGCAAAUUUCAUCCCAGAGUAAGACGACUCAGGUCACUUA
This is a long non-coding RNA of Cyanistes caeruleus (blue tit), 4023 nucleotides long. RefSeq lists it as uncharacterized. The record is from RefSeq and is a predicted model, not a curated record. NCBI's taxonomy places the organism in Eukaryota, Metazoa, Chordata, Aves, Passeriformes, Paridae.